UACGAAGGGUGCGAGCGUUAUUCGGAAUAACUGGGCGUAAAGAGCGUGUCGGCGGUUUGUUAAGUCAACUGUAAAAGAGCUCGGCUUAACCGAGUAAAUGCGGGUGAAACUGGCGAACUAGAGUACGGGAGAGAAAGGUAGAAUUCUCGGAGUAGCGGUAAAAUGCGUAGAUCUCGAGAGGAAUACCGGUUGCGAAGGCGGCCUUUUGGCCCGUAACUGACGCUUAAGCGCGAAAGCGUGGGGAGCAAACAGG
Molecule: ribosomal RNA, 253 nt
Filed under: uncultured bacterium
Lineage: Bacteria
Description: partial 16S ribosomal RNA
Rfam family: Bacterial small subunit ribosomal RNA
Source: RNAcentral